CAUUGAUCCUGACGGUGAAUAACCCGGUGCAUACGACGGAGGAGCUGGCGGAGAAGUCACCGGAGAAGUUGCCGGAGAAACAGGGGAAGAUGAUUUAGGUGACAUUGAUCCCGGCGGUGAAGAACCCGGUGCAUACGACGGAGGAGCUGGCGGAGAAGUUGCCGGAGAACCAGCGGAGGAAGAUUUAGGUGGCAUUGAACCCGGCGGAGAAGUCACCGGAGAAGACGACGGAGAACCAGGGGAAGAUGAUUUAGGUGACAUUGAUCCCGGCGGAGAAGAUGACGGAGAACCAGGGAAUGAGGAUUUAGGUGGCAUUGAUCCCGGCGGAGAAGUCAUCGGAGCAGAGGACGGAGAACCAGGGGAAGAGGAUUUAGGUGGCAUAGGUGCGGGUGGAGAAGUCGACGGAGACAUAUGAGAGGAAGAUUUAGGUGCCAUUGAACCUGGUGGAGAAGUUGCCGGAGACUUAGCGGAGGAUGAUUUAGGUGGCAUUGAUCCCGGCGGAGAAGUCACUGGAGAAGAAGACGGAGAAACAGGGGAAGAUGAUUUAGGUGGUGUAUGUGCCGGUGGAGACGUCGCCGGAGAAACAGGGGAUGAAGAUGAUUUAGGUGGCAUUGUUCCCGGUGGAGAAGUCACCGGAGAAACAGGGGAAGUAGAUUUAGGUGGCAUAGGUGCCGGUGGAGAAGUCGCCGGAGAAACAUGGGAAGAAGACUUAGGUGGCAUUGAUCCCGGCGGAGAAGUCACCGGAGCAGAAGACGGAGAAACAGGGGAAGAAGAUUUAGGUGGCGUAGGUGCGGGUGGAGAAGUCGCCGGAGAAACAGGGGAAGAGGAUUUAG
This 833-nucleotide long non-coding RNA is filed under the name Brassica rapa (field mustard). Its description in RNAcentral is "long non-coding RNA (BRAP_LNC002255)". The record is from RNAcentral. Lineage: Eukaryota; Viridiplantae; Streptophyta; Magnoliopsida; Brassicales; Brassicaceae.